AGCGUCUUGGAGCAGCUGGUAGCUCGUUGGGCUCAUAACCCAAAGGUCGUCGGAUCGAAACCGACAGACGCUA
RNAcentral lists this transfer RNA (73 nucleotides) under Microbotryum lychnidis-dioicae p1A1 Lamole. RNAcentral's name for it is "tRNA-Met (CAT) (tRNA-Met-CAT-1-1)". It matches the Rfam family "tRNA". From Rfam's summary of the family: Transfer RNA (tRNA) molecules are approximately 80 nucleotides in length. The record is from RNAcentral. Lineage: Eukaryota; Fungi; Basidiomycota; Microbotryomycetes; Microbotryales; Microbotryaceae.